CGAGAAAGCCCGCAAGGGUGAGUAAAGCGGCGCACGGGUGCGUAACACGUGGGUAAUCUGCCCUGAAGUCCGGAAUAACUCGCCGAAAGGCGUGCUAAUGCCGGAUGAGACCACGGGGUCUUCGGACCUCGCGGGAAAAGGUGGCCUCUGUAUACAAGCUAUCGCUUCAGGAUGAGCCCGCGGCCCAUCAGCUAGUUGGCGGGGUAAAGGCCCACCAAGGCAACGACGGGUAGCUGGUCUGAGAGGACGAUCAGCCACACUGGAACUGAGACACGGUCCAGACUCCUACGGGAGGCAGCAGUGGGGAAUCUUGCGCAAUAGGCGAAAGCCUGACGCAGCAACGCCGCGUGUGUGAUGAAGGUCUUCGGAUCGUAAAGCACUGUCGCGAGGGACG
RNAcentral lists this ribosomal RNA (394 nucleotides) under uncultured Anaeromyxobacter sp. RNAcentral's name for it is "bacterial SSU rRNA". It matches the Rfam family "Bacterial small subunit ribosomal RNA", at positions 67 to 447 of the family's 1533-position model. The record is from RNAcentral. Lineage: Bacteria; Pseudomonadati; Myxococcota; Myxococcia; Myxococcales; Anaeromyxobacteraceae.